UGGAUCGUUAGCUCAGUUGGUAGAGCACGUGACUCUUAAUCAUGUGGUCCAGGGUUCGAGUCCCUGACGAUCCAUCC
RNAcentral lists this transfer RNA (77 nucleotides) under Paenibacillus aceti. Its description in RNAcentral is "tRNA-Lys". It matches the Rfam family "tRNA". Rfam says of the family: Transfer RNA (tRNA) molecules are approximately 80 nucleotides in length. Their secondary structure includes four short double-helical elements and three loops (D, anti-codon, and T loops). Lineage: Bacteria; Bacillati; Bacillota; Bacilli; Caryophanales; Paenibacillaceae. The record is from RNAcentral.